GGCUGUACUGCUGCUGCAUCUUCCUGGCCGUCUCUAUUGCUCCUGCCAAAUCUCCCCUGUAAGGUACAAGAUGAACUGACGAGAGACUGGGCUGCAUUCUGAAACACUUCUGUGCCAUAUCUAUACUACUUCCAAAAGGCUGGUGGGGUCACUUACCUGUUGAGUCUGCUCUUCACCAGCACACCAAGAGUCACAGUGUCAGCCUCCACCAGGCCCCCUUGCAGCAAGAGACUGAAAAGUUUGUCUGUCUCCUGUGGGUUGCUGGUGCUGGCUGAUGCUAACAGCAAGUUCCUGCAAUUUCUCAAUAUCUGUCUGGUGUUGACACUUUUCCCAUCACUCUUUAUGAAAUACUCCAAGAGGAUCUCGCUGGCCUCUGAAAAUAAUGCACCCUUUGAUUUAAGGCAUCUUUUCACACUGCUAUAGAGAGUUUCCUGUGGUGAACUAUAGUUGUAUUUCUACUAACAUGACUUUGAAUGGCAUGAGAUGAAUGAGUACACAUACAAAUCACAUACAAAGCAAUAACUAAAGCUACCAUUAUAUGCCACUAUUGCGUAUACUAGGGUAAGGCCAUUAGCUGGUAAAUUUAUCGAGGAUCUCUUAAAACAUUUAAAAUACACACACACACAAUUAUUAUUUAUGAAAUAAAUAAAAUAAGUGACCAGCUGCUGCUCCUGGGAGAUGUGUGUGAUGGAAAUCAUCUUUUUACAUGUCUCACAAGAACAGCUGAGGUGGUGCAUGUAUGGAGGUCUUGCAACUGCAUAGCUUUUUGUGCAUGUGUAAAGGGUCAUCAUUAGCUUUAUCAGUUGUUGGCCUUUCCCUAAGCUGAUUAUCAAAGAUAUCAGUGACAAAAUCAUGAUAAUAUCAUGAAGGUAUCAUUCCUUCAGAUAACAAGUGGAAAGGAAUAAAUGUGUAUUGGUGAUAUGUUAAGCUGAAGAAAAAAAUUGCAUCCACAAGAGGAUAAAAGGAAAUUUGCAAUUUCUAGAUGGUUCAAUAUUUGGAUGUGGCUAUAGCACAGAGAUGCCUCAGAGAUCAUCAAUUAAGGAAAAGAUGUGCCAAAUGGUAGCAAAAGGGUUCAUUCCCAUGAGAAGUCACCUGGGACCACACACUCACCUGCAGCCCUGCCACUCUGGAUGAGGAGAGUACAAAGGUCCACCACCUUGUAGGAGUCCACCUUGAAGCUUGGGUAUUUGGUACCAAGCAGGGAGUAGAUGUCCAUGGCAGCUUCAGCAUUGCCAUUGUUUAUGUAAGCCAUGAGAACACUAGACAACAUGCCUGCACUCAGCUGCUGCUUGUCCUUGCAGGCACUCUAAAAGGGAAAUGGUGCCAAUUUAACUGCUUUAGUGUCUUAUGAAAUUGCUUUAGGGGUUGGACAGAGAAAAUCAACCAAAUGACCCCCACAGCUUGGUGCAAUAAGAAAUAUGAUAAUCAAUAAAUUUAUAUUGGUAACAUUAUUGGUGAUAACCAAUGAUGAUAACUGGCAAUAUAUUUAUUUACUGGUAAGAUGGAAAGUGAUAAAUUGACCAAUCCAA
Long non-coding RNA from Portunus trituberculatus (swimming crab), 1529 nucleotides. RefSeq lists it as uncharacterized. NCBI's taxonomy places the organism in Eukaryota, Metazoa, Arthropoda, Malacostraca, Decapoda, Portunidae. The record is from RefSeq and is a predicted model, not a curated record. The transcript has 2 exons.